CGGGCUGUAGCGCAGUUGGUAGCGCGCUUCGUUCGGGACGAAGAGGCCGCGAGUUCAAGUCUCGCCAGCCCGA
Molecule: transfer RNA, 73 nt
Filed under: Candidatus Uhrbacteria bacterium
Lineage: Bacteria; Candidatus Uhriibacteriota
Description: tRNA-Pro
Rfam family: tRNA
About the family: Transfer RNA (tRNA) molecules are approximately 80 nucleotides in length.
Source: RNAcentral